This 1365-nucleotide ribosomal RNA is filed under the name uncultured bacterium. RNAcentral's name for it is "bacterial SSU rRNA". It matches the Rfam family "Bacterial small subunit ribosomal RNA". The record is from RNAcentral.
AGAGUUUGAUCCUGGCUCAGGACGAACGCUGGCGGCGCGCCUAACACAUGCAAGUCGAACGAGCGAGAGAGAGCUUGCUUUCUCAAGCGAGUGGCGAACGGGUGAGUAACGCGUGAGGAACCUGCCUCAAAGAGGGGGACAACAGUUGGAAACGACUGCUAAUACCGCAUAAGCCCACAGCUCGGCAUCGAGCAGAGGGAAAAGGAGCAAUCCGCUUUGAGAUGGCCUCGCGUCCGAUUAGCUGGUUGGUGAGGUAAUGGCCCACCAAGGCGACGAUCGGUAGCCGGACUGAGAGGUUGAACGGCCACAUUGGGACUGAGACACGGCCCAGACUCCUACGGGAGGCAGCAGUGGGGAAUACUGCACAAUGGGGGAAACCCUGAUGCAGCGACGCCGCGUGGAGGAAGAAGGUCUUCGGAUUGUAAACUCCUGUUGUUGAGGAAGAUAAUGACGGUACUCAACAAGGAAGUGACGGCUAACUACGUGCCAGCAGCCGCGGUAAAACGUAGGUCACAAGCGUUGUCCGGAAUUACUGGGUGUAAAGGGAGCGCAGGCGGGAAGACAAGUUGGAAGUGAAAUCUAUGGGCUCAACCCAUAAACUGCUUUCAAAACUGUUUUUCUUGAGUAGUGCAGAGUAGGCGGAAUUCCCGGUGUAGCGGUGGAAUGCGUAGAUAUCGGGAGGAACACCAGUGGCGAAGCGGCCUACUGGGCACCAACUGACGCUGAGGCUCGAAAGUGUGGGUACCAACAGGAUUAGAUACCCUGGUAGUCCACACCGUAAACGAUGAUUACUAGGUGUUGGAGGAUUGACCCCUUCAGUGCCGCAGUUAACACAAUAAGUAAUCCACCUGGGGAGUACGACCGCAAGGUUGAAACUCAAAGGAAUUGACGGGGGCCCGCACAAGCAGUGGAGUAUGUGGUUUAAUUCGACGCAACGCGAAGAACCUUACCAAGUCUUGACAUCCCUUGACGAUGCUGGAAACAGUAUUUCUCUUCGGAGCAAGGAAACAGGUGGUGCAUGGUUGUCGUCAGCUCGUGUCGUGAGAUGUUGGGUUAAGUCCCGCAACGAGCGCAACCCUUACUGUCAGUUACUACGCAAGAGGACUCUGGCAGGACUGCCGUUGACAAAACGGAGGAAGGUGGGGAUGACGUCAAAUCAUCAUGCCCUUUAUGACUUGGGCUACACACGUACUACAAUGGCGUUAAACAAAGAGAAGCAAGACCGCGAGGUGGAGCAAAACUCAGAAACAACGUCCCAGUUCGGACUGCAGGCUGCAACUCGCCUGCACGAAGUCGGAAUUGCUAGUAAUCGUGGAUCAGCAUGCCACGGUGAAUACGUUCCCGGGCGUGUACACACCGCCCGUC